This is a long non-coding RNA of Parasteatoda tepidariorum (common house spider), 644 nucleotides long. NCBI's taxonomy places the organism in Eukaryota, Metazoa, Arthropoda, Arachnida, Araneae, Theridiidae. The record is from RefSeq and is a predicted model, not a curated record.
GGUGCCGAGCUCGAGAUUGUUAUUGUUUACAUUUCUAUUGAAAACACCAUCCAUAAAAUGACAAAAAGGAAUUAUUAAAAUAAUCAUUUUUCAAUCAGCAUUUUCUUUACCAGUUAAACAACUAUUUGUUGACUAAAUGAUUGGAAGUAGCCACGAGAAAUGCUUGAGUAACACCUGGAUGAUCAAGGUCAUGAGCAACUGCUGCUAGAACAGAUGACAUCGUCUCUAAUGGAGUUAAAUGAGCAGAAAACUAAAAGAGAUUUUUAGAAUAGCAUCACUCUUUUUCAGAAGAAGCUUUUUCAACAAUAGAUAACAAAAUUAUUUUACUUUAUGUUCCCGAAGAAAACAAUGCAUGGCUUGAGUGACAUCAGCUGCAUGAACUGAAUUAUGAUAAGGAUUAUGUCGAUGAUAAGCUGCUUCCAUCAAAUCUAAAGAAAAAGCAAUGCAUAUUUGAGUUGUUAAAUAGUCAAACGUAUUAUAUAAAUAUACAAGUAAAAUUAAUUUUAAUUUUUUAGCCUUUAAUUGAGAUACUACAAUCUGUGUGGUUCAACAAAUUGAUGUGAUCAUUAUUUAUUGAGAGCCACAAAUUAAGAAUAUUGUUAUGAAAGAAACUUAAUUUGAUACAUAAAUUUCACAAAAGCCCA